AACGAACGCUGGCGGCAUGCCUAACACAUGCAAGUCGAACGAAACCUUCGGGUCUAGUGGCGCACGGGUGCGUAACGCGUGGGAACCUGCCCUUAGGUUCGGAAUAACUCCCCGAAAGGGGUGCUAAUACCGGAUAAUGUCUUCGGACCAAAGAUUUUUCGCCGUUGGAUGGGCGCGCGUUGGAUUAGCUAGUUGGUAGGGUAAAAGCCUACCAAGGCGACGAUCCAUAGCUGGUCUGAGAGGAUGAUCAGCCACACUGGGACUGAGACACGGACCAGACUCCUACGGGAGGGAGCAGUGGGGAAUAUUGGACGAUGGGCGAAAGCCUGAUCCAGCAAUGCCGCGUGAGUGAUGAAGGCCUUAGGGUUGUAAAGCUCUUUUACCCGGGAUGAUAAUGACAGUAACGGGAGAAUAAGCUCCGGCUAACUCCGUG
This 433-nucleotide ribosomal RNA is filed under the name uncultured bacterium. RNAcentral's name for it is "partial 16S ribosomal RNA". It matches the Rfam family "Bacterial small subunit ribosomal RNA", at positions 29 to 507 of the family's 1533-position model. The record is from RNAcentral.